RNAcentral lists this ribosomal RNA (210 nucleotides) under Rhinomonas sp. RCC821. RNAcentral describes it as "partial 18S ribosomal RNA". It matches the Rfam family "Eukaryotic small subunit ribosomal RNA", at positions 626 to 839 of the family's 1831-position model. Lineage: Eukaryota; Cryptophyceae; Pyrenomonadales; Pyrenomonadaceae. The record is from RNAcentral.
GCUCGUAGUCGAAUUUGGACCCGAUCUGUAGGAUGACUCAGAUGANUCUUUGGCAUAUCGGGUCCUAUUUUGUCAUCACCGGACUCACUCAAAAUUGGGUAGUUAGAUAGGUGACAUUUUUUACUGUGAACAAAAUAGAGUGUUCAUGGCAGGCCUUUGAAAGGCUUAGAUACCUCAGCAUGGAAUAAUAGAAUAGGACUUCCGGUUCUA